Molecule: ribosomal RNA, 382 nt
Filed under: uncultured eukaryote
Lineage: Eukaryota
Description: partial 18S ribosomal RNA
Rfam family: Eukaryotic small subunit ribosomal RNA
Source: RNAcentral
CAAUAGCGUAUAUUAAAGUUGUUGCAGUUAAAAAGCUCGUAGUUGGAUUUCUGGUUGAAGCGACCGGUCGGGCGUUGAUUCGUCUGCACUGGAGUCGGUUUUGGCCAUCCUCUAGGAAAGUGCGUCUGGUAUUAAGUUAUCGGGCGUAUGAUCCUGGUCUUUUACUGCGAAAAAAUUAGAGUGUUUAAAGCAGGCCUUCGCCUUGAAUACAUUAGCAUGGAAUAAUAAGAUAGGACUUUGGUCUAUUUUGUUGGUUUGCAGACCGAAGUAAUGAUUAAUAGGGAUAGUUGGGGGUAUUUAUAUUCCGAUGUCAGAGGUGAAAUUCUUAGAUUUUCGGAAGAUAAACUUAUGCGAAAGCAUUUACCAAGGAUGUUUUCAUUAA